GGACUACCCGGGUAUCUAAUCCUGUUUGCUCCCCACGCUUUCGCACCUCAGCGUCAAUAUCUGCCCAGAUCGCCGCCUUCGCCACUGGUGUUCCUCCCGAUAUCUACGAAUUUCACCUCUACACCGGGAAUUCCGCGAUCCUCUUCAGUAUUCAAGUCCAGUAGUUCGGAAAGCACUUCCUCGGUUAAGCCGAGGGAUUUCACUCCCCGCUUGCUGGACCGCCUACGUGCGCUUUACGCCCAAUGAUUCCGAGCAACGUUUGCACCCUCCGUAUUACCGCGGCUGCUGGCAC
This 292-nucleotide ribosomal RNA is filed under the name uncultured bacterium. RNAcentral describes it as "partial 16S ribosomal RNA". The record is from RNAcentral.